GGUUGAUCCUGCCAGUAGUCAUAUGCUCAUUUCGAAGAUUAAGCCAUGCAUGUCUAGGUAUAAGUUUUUAUACAACGAAACUGCGAAUAGCUCAUUAAAACAACUAUAGUCUUUGUGGACAUAAUUGCUACACGGAUACCUGUGGUAAUUCUGGAGCUAAUACGUGAAUAAUGUCCAAUCGGAUGUCACUUAUUAGAUAAGAACCAACCUAUGCUUGCAUAGUAUUUUGGUGAUCCAUAAUAAGCUCGUGAAUCGCAUGGCGUCUGCCGGCGAUAAUCCACCUGAGUUUUUG
Molecule: ribosomal RNA, 292 nt
Filed under: uncultured eukaryote
Lineage: Eukaryota
Description: partial 18S ribosomal RNA
Rfam family: Eukaryotic small subunit ribosomal RNA
Source: RNAcentral